Molecule: ribosomal RNA, 827 nt
Filed under: uncultured bacterium
Lineage: Bacteria
Description: bacterial SSU rRNA
Rfam family: Bacterial small subunit ribosomal RNA
Source: RNAcentral
CAGUCGAACGAAGCACUUUAUUUGAUUUCCUUCGGGACUGAUUAUUUUGUGACUGAUUGGCGGACGGGUGAGUAACGCGUGGGUAACCUGCCUUGUACAGGGGGAUAACAGUUGGAAACGGCUGCUAAUACCGCAUAAGCGCACAGCAUCGCAUGAUGCAGUGUGAAAAACUCCGGUGGUAUAAGAUGGACCCGCGUUGGAUUAGCUAGCUGGUGAGGUAACGGCCCACCAAGGCGACGAUCCAUAGCCGACCUGAGAGGGUGACCGGCCACAUUGGGACUGAGACACGGCCCAAACUCCUACGGGAGGCAGCAGUGGGGAAUAUUGCACAAUGGGCGAAAGCCUGAUGCAGCGACGCCGCGUGAGCGAAGAAGUAUUUCGGUAUGUAAAGCUCUAUCAGCAGGGAAGAUAAUGACGGUACCUGACUAAGAAGCACCGGCUAAAUACGUGCCAGCAGCCGCGGUAAUACGUAUGGUGCAAGCGUUAUCCGGAUUUACUGGGUGUAAAGGGAGCGCAGGCGGUGCGGCAAGUCUGAUGUGAAAGCCCGGGGCUCAACCCCGGUACUGCAUUGGAAACUGUCGUACUAGAGUGUCGGAGGGGUAAGCGGAAUUCCUAGUGUAGCGGUGAAAUGCGUAGAUAUUAGGAGGAACACCAGUGGCGAAGGCGGCUUACUGGACGAUAACUGACGCUGAGGCUCGAAAGCGUGGGGAGCAAACAGGAUUAGAUACCCUGGUAGUCCACGCCGUANACGAUGAAUACUAGGUGUUGGGAANCAUUGCUUCUCGGUGCCGUCGCAAACGCAGUAAGUAUUCCACCUGGGGAGUACG